Molecule: ribosomal RNA, 113 nt
Filed under: bacterium
Lineage: Bacteria
Description: partial 16S ribosomal RNA
Source: RNAcentral
CGGAGUUAUUGGGCGUAAAGAGCGUGUAGGGAGGAGUGAGCGGCUGAGGUGCACGCUAUGGGCAUAACCCGGAGACGUCGUUUGAUACUGUUUUUUUUGUUUCAAGCAGAGGA